UAGGGAAUCUUCGGCAAUGGACGAAAGUCUGACCGAGCAACGCCGCGUGAGUGAAGAAGGUUUUCGGAUCGUAAAACUCUGUUGGUAGAGAAGAACGUUGGUGAGAGUGGAAAGCUCAUCAAGUGACGGUAACUACCCAGAAAGGGACGGCUAACUACGUCACG
This 164-nucleotide ribosomal RNA is filed under the name uncultured bacterium. RNAcentral describes it as "partial 16S ribosomal RNA". It matches the Rfam family "Bacterial small subunit ribosomal RNA", at positions 355 to 510 of the family's 1533-position model. The record is from RNAcentral.